This is a regulatory RNA element of Corynebacterium kroppenstedtii DSM 44385, 99 nucleotides long. It matches the Rfam family "mraW RNA". Lineage: Bacteria; Bacillati; Actinomycetota; Actinomycetes; Mycobacteriales; Corynebacteriaceae. The record is from Rfam.
GUAAGGAAUGUGUGCAGGCCUCUGCCCGUUUGGAUCCUGAUGUACUUCCCCAACACCAGGCACUGAGCGGGUAGGGCCCUGUUUACAUUCCUCUCCAUC